UUUUGGACAAUGGGCGCAAGCCUGAUCCAGCCAUGCCGCGUGCGGGAAGAAGGCCUUCGGGUUGUAAACCGCUUUUGUCAGGGACGACCCCCGUUUGGGCUAAUACCCCGAACUAAUGACGGUACCUGAAGAAUAAGCACCGGCUAACUACGUGCCAGCAGCCGCGGUAAUACGUAGGGUGCAAGCGUUAAUCGGAAUUACUGGGCGUAAAGCGUGCGCAGGCGGCUUUGCAAGACAGAUGUGAAAUCCCCGGGCUCAACCUGGGAACUGCAUUUGUGACUGCAAGGCUGGAGUGCGGCAGAGGGGGAUGGAAUUCCGCGUGUAGCAGUGAAAUGCGUAGAUAUGCGGAGGAACACCGAUGGCGAAGGCAAUCCCCUGGCCUGCACUACGCUCAGCACGAAA
Molecule: ribosomal RNA, 402 nt
Filed under: uncultured bacterium
Lineage: Bacteria
Description: bacterial SSU rRNA
Rfam family: Bacterial small subunit ribosomal RNA
Source: RNAcentral